Molecule: long non-coding RNA, 14531 nt
Organism: Tympanuchus pallidicinctus (lesser prairie-chicken)
Lineage: Eukaryota; Metazoa; Chordata; Aves; Galliformes; Phasianidae
Exons: 11
Source: RefSeq, a predicted model, not a curated record
GAAGGAAGGGCGCUCGGGGCGGCGGUAGCGGUGGCGGGGUUCUGGGGAGGCGCUCGGCUCUGCCGCGUUCGCUGCCGCUGCGGCGUUCCGGGCCCGCUUUCGAUUCUCCUGGGUAGCGCAGAGCUCGUCGGUCUGUGGCUGUUGCGGUUGUGUUUCGCGGGGCAGCCUCAGGAUGAAACGGCGGCGGGUGGGCGCGGCUCGGCUCCGUGCUGUCCCUUCUCGGGCGGCGGGCCGUGCUGGGAGAGCGCGGCGGUUUUGUUUUCGGCUUCCACCAAGCCUAAGUUUUACGUGUGUGCUGCCCAACAUCUUCUCGGAAAGCUCUUGGCUUGUGUGUGUGCUUCAGAAGGAUUCAGGUGAUUUUUUUUUUCCCCACUUGUUAGUCUGGGCUGACUUUGAAAAAGCUCCAGCGUGGGUUCUGGUUCUCUGAGCAGUGAGAACUCACGGCUUGAUGCUGCUGAGGCUUUAAAGGCAGCCGAUGCCUCCCUUUUCCUUGGAGCUGUGGUUGUUUGUGCUUGGUGGUCGCUUUGUUGUUGUUGUGUCCGUUUGGUUUUGUUCCCCCGGUGAACUUAAUUCCUGAUAAAUUAACUUCUACCUCGGGUGUUUUGAAUGUGCUGUGAGGUGCCACAGAGUUAUUUCCCGGUGUUCAUUUCUGUUCCUCCCAGACAUCCAAGUCAAAUCAAGGCAAGCUCGGGCCGAGGAAAGCGUCCAGAGCUGAGUUUUGUGUAUAAUGAGGGAAUUUCCCACGUGUGUGGGGAAGAGUUUGUGUGUUGGCAGAGAAAAGAAAUGGAGGCUUUCAAUUCACAAUGCAAUAGAACUUUUUUUUGUUCAGCCUGAACAAAGCAGCGUUGAAGUAACAGUCACUGUGUGAUGCAAACUCCAGAGUCACCAGGAACUGGUUUGGAUGUUCCAGAUGUGGACUGGUCACGACUGGGAUCUAGUCAGACUUGCUGUUUAUUCAAAUAUUGUUUCCAUGUUGUGUCAGUCUGUCUAAAUUUGGUUUAGUUUUAAUUAACUGACAAUGUACACUGGGCAUGUGGCUUAUUUCUGAUCUUAUUCAUUUCCAUCUUCACCUUCUUAAACUGGCUCUAGUUAACAUAGGAAGAGUAGAAGUUUCAAAUACAGUUUAGAGUGCUGCUUAGGGUCUGAUAUGCGUUGCGACUUCAAAAGAGUGAAUGGAAUAAUUAUCUGGAAAUUAACUCUGAACUUUGGGGAAAUAAUGCUCUGUGUGUAUAGAUAGCAGACUGUAUGCAGGCUGAGAACAUGUGCUCUUCAUGUGUGUCUUCUAAAAAUAUUUUCACAUGCAAAUCACAUAUCCGUUGGCUGCGUGCUUCUAACCAGAUUGUCACUGCAAGGCCGAUGGUUCCUGACAAACUGAAUGCAGAGUGGGAGAUACCAACUGGAAACUUCUGCUUGAAAGCUUUAGCUUGCUUGAUGCCUAUCUCUUGCUGAUAAGUGACUGGGGCCCCUCGUGUGUGCAGUCAGUGCUGGAGCUUCUUUCCUGCAUCAGAACUCCCAGGCCAGGUCAGUGCUCAAGUAAACUAGGUUUUCUGGAGUGUCUUCUACUUUAAGAAUUAGUAGAUCAAGUCAUAUGGUUGCAACAUUACGUGCAGCAGUGGUUAUGUUAUUAACAGCUGAUUUGGGAAGGCAUAUGAGUAAUGCCUUGACAAGUUUAAGUUCCAUUUUAGAGCAAUUUAAAAGAUCUUCAGUGUAUUUCUUAAAACACUCAAAAAUGCCUUUCAAUUAGGCAUGUGAAUAAGGUUAUCAAAGCUGCUACAGUCUGCAGCCAGUCUUUCUCUUUUGUGCAUCCCACUGCUCUUUUUCUUGUGGUUGUUAACAUUUAAAGAGCGUGUUUAUGGCUUUCAGUAGCCUCUGCAAUCAACAGAAAUUAGUCUGAAAUCCUAAUAAAUGAACCAAAGAAAGAUCUUCAGUUGUCUUUCCAUUAUUUAAACUUAAUUUUAAUUAUGCUGUAUUAAUAUCUGAAGUUAUUUACUACCUGCUAAUAUAAAUACUGAAAAUCUUAAAAUAUGAGGGUUUUUUUUUUUCCUGUUUAAUUAGCUUGGCAGAGUUUGUGCAUAACUGUGCAGUUAAAUAAACUAUUACUGUAUUUCAUGUUUCAGAACAGAGGGGCUAUAUUAAUUAAUUAAUAUACAUUUCUUUUGUAACUGUGUUGUUGGGUAAUUGUGUUUUAUAACAUAUUUCAAAUUUUACAUUUAAAUUGUCUCUAUGUUGUUUGUUUUGUUGCUGUUCUUGGUUUGUUUGUUUGGUUUUUUUUACUAGCACUGUUAUGCCAUAUUAAAUUGCACCUUCUUGCAUGAAAAAAGGUGUAAAAUGGAAUACAAAUCCAAAAUGGAGAUCCUUGUCAGAGUACAAAUAGAGGAAUGAAACAAAACCAUGGUACUAAAGCAGAGGUUCCCAACCUUAUUGUACUGGAGUUUGGCCGUGGGUAUGGAUGGGAGGGGGAUUGUUGAUGCCAGUGGAGGCAAUUUUUCUGUCCUAUGUUCCUCCAUCUGUGACACGUUCCUGAAGGCAGAACUCAGCUCUGUGCUUCCUGCCUCACUUACUAGUUUAUCACCCCUGCUUCACUCCAUCCUGUUCUUGUAGACCACUAGCUACUUGUGUAUGGCAAGCCCAGUUCCACAAUUGCUCUCAAAGCACUAUCUGCUUACAAAAUGUUGACUGUUGAAGUGUGAUGAUGUUCACAGGCCUAGCUGGGAAGUAUUGUGAUACACCAUAGCUAGAAACAAAGUGUGGCAAAUAGCUGGUCUUACAAAUCCUCCUUCAGAUAAGUAAUGCCCUCAAAGGCCAUUGAAUGCAUUUCAUUAAGGAUUACAUGUGAUUAGUGGUCUGUAAGGUCAAGAGUACAACCUGUCAUUAAUGAGUAUUCAUAUAUUAAUGCUGCUUUGGUCAGGAAGUUCAACUAGAUUGCUUCUGAGGUCAGUUGCAAUGAGAAUGUUAUGAUUAUCACACUUGUAUUGUGCAAAUAGAUAUUUAAUUUAUAAAACGACAAUUAAACAAGCUAAGCCCUAUCCAGAUGUUGCAAUUAGUUUUACUUAUUCUGUCAUAUUGUAGUAUGGAGAUAAAACUUGGGUCAAAUUUGUAAGAUUUAAAGCAGUUUAAAAAAAAAAAAAAAAAGCCUUUUUGUGUAUUUCAUUGAAUUCCUUGUAUAUAGUUCUAUAUUCUUAGCAUACAGUUGUUUUGGUUGUGGUUCUGGAACUAGUCAAAGUACAGUGCCAGCAAAUGCAGUGCUUUUAUUUGCAGCUGAACUGUGUCAAUGGGCUCAAGUUGACUCUGGCUAUUUCAGGUACUUUUGGCACUGAGGCUGUCAUACAUAGCCAUCAGUGCAGGUCAGCAGUCUGAGAAAGAAAGGUUUGAGGUCCCAAAAACUUCCAAAGCAAGGACUCUGCGUGUGAGAAGGAAUUCCUGUAUUCAAAAACGUGUGUACAUUCUGAGUAUACAUAGAUGUUGCCACAGGUGGUUGAGUUGAAUAAACAGUAUGUGCUGAAUGAGUUUCAAGAUGGAUGCUUUUUCAUUAUUUAAGAAAUUGUGUUUUGACUGACAGUAGUGUGAUCCUCCCCAUUAAGAUGUAUGGGGAACUCAUACAGAUUUCCUUGCUGUGUUUGGGAGGAACGUGUAUACCUAUGAUACUUCUUUCACUGUUACCAUGUAGUAUUGUAAAUGAAUUAUUUUAAUCAUGGAAUCGAGGUUGGAAAAGAUGACUAAGAUCAUCCAAUCCAGCUGUUGACCCAUCACUGUUGACCAUCCCCACCAAACCUUGUCCCUCAGUGCCACAUCUACCCUUUAUCUGAAAAGUUGGUGAUAAGUGAGGAAGUCUCAAAAUGACUCACUGCAAAAAGCCAAGUCACUUUCUCAUUCAUGGGACUGGAAAUAUUUUUGUACAAUAUUUGGCCCUUCCAAAUAUAUUAAAUAUCGACACAUGAUUGUUAUCCUGUCUUACUGCAGUGUAUUUCAGGGAAGUACUUGGUUGCUUUUAUGUUUUUAUUUAGAAAGGGUCUAAGAUGUAAGUGGUGUAGUAAGGACUAGAUAGAUCUCCUGGUCUUUAGGAACUAUAGAAAGCAAUUAAAAGAAAUAAAAAGUGCUAUGAAGGAGCUGAGUGAAUUCUUUACGUUACUCUUUGCCACAGAGAAUGUUGUGAACAUUCUGUUCUUUUCAGACAAUGCGGAUGGGACAUUAUCUGAUUAUUGAAUUAGAGAAUCAAAAAAUUGAAUGCUCAAAUUCUCAAGACCCCUCAGUCACAAGGACUACAUGCAGUUCCUCCUGUGGUUCUAGAGAAUGAAGAGGCUGAGCUGCUGAGAAUGCCUCUGCUUAGGAGGUGAUGCUGUGCCAGAAGACUGAGAGCUGUCAGUUGGUGUAUGUGCUGCACUUCUAAACUGAACUUAUCUGGAAUUUGCAGACCAAGGAUUCUUAUUUUAAUGCCAGGCUAACUGAUGUAAAUACUUGAAUACAGUCAAGCAGUUCUGUGAGCACACAGAUCUAAUAGAGCCUAGUUUCCUACACAGCUAUAUGCCUUAGAGGUACCAGCUGGUGCUGGGAUGUUUAUAAGCUGUUUCUAUUAUGUCUGUAUUGAUGUUUUAAUAAUGUGGGUACGUGCUGCAGCCUCUAGUCAGUUUGUGCAGUUUGUGGCUCUAUCUUUUCUAUUCACCUGUCCAGUGCUUGGAAUUCUGACAUCUCUGAACACAUACAAAACUGGAAAUGCUUUUUGCUUGCACUUCCACAAAACUAAAAUUGGGUAGUGGAUUUAAAAGUUAUGAAGAGUCACACAGAACCUAGGUAGGCACAUUAAACAACAUUCAUCUCAUCUAUCUUUACCUGUCUGAACAGAUAAGCAGCAGGAAGGUCAUUUGUUCGGCACUUCUAACAAAAAUAGGGGUUUGUCAAGUUGUGCCUCAAGAGCCUAUAGUAGAAGUGUUUCCUUUUGUCUUUAAAUAAGCAUCCAAAGUAAAAUUCUAUAUACGUUUGGUAAAAUUGGAGAAAGUUGUGAGGAACUGGAGGACAGUCUUCUAAAGACUGGUAGAUGUCAUUCAGUAUUUGCAGUUACAAAAAAAACUCUUAGCGGAAGGAAUAACCAAACUACUUAAAGAGAUUUCUAAAUUACAAGUAAAUGUUGCAAAAAUACAUUUAAGCUCCCAGAUGAAAAUAUCCUUAAGAAGUGUCCACUGUGAAAGAAGCAGCUUAAAAACUUAUUUUAGUGAUGCUCCUUAAUAGCUUUUAAUGAAAGUUCCUUACUUAGUCAUCUCUGCUGAAAUGAACUGCCCAUCUGGUUUCAUUGCGGAAGCCGUUGAUGCUUACUUUACUGAUCAGUGUGUUUCGUAUCCUCUGGGUGUUUUUAAAUGCUGUUUAUAAAUAACAAGUUCUUGACAGAUAAAGUCUUUGCAGCUUACAUAAUGAAAAUAAUAAUACUUUAUUUCUCGCUUUUGGUUUUAUUUUCUUCGGGUUAUCUCUAAAUGCUCAAUAAUGGCAAUACAUUCAUUCUGCCAUUUGGAGGAGCCUGCGCCACAGAAUAAUGAUCUGAAGAGAGCUAAUGUAUUUGCAAGGAAGAGUCCUCAUUUGUGCAAUAGUGUUGAUGCAGCUAAGAGGUGCCUUGCCAAGUUCAGCACAGCCUGCCAUGCUUGGACGGAGCCGUUUUUUCUUCAAAGAAUAAACAGAAUGCUGCAUCUAAAGAGUAAGAAGAAGGAUGCUUUUAAAGAUAAGGAUUUUGAAAUGAAGAACGAAAAAGGAGAAUGUUUUUAUGAAAAAGUUCAUAACGGACCAAAUAAACGUGUAUGUUAUCUUUUAAAAAUAUUUAACUCAAGUGAAGCUCCUGUAUGGCAAGCCUCAAGACCAAGAAGUCUACUGGAAAUUUUUACCCAUAGUUUAAAGAAAUGUUCAGAUGUCCAAAUGCAAGUGAUUUAGAAGUAGUAACUAUUACACUCUUCAAGAUGCUUUGUGUAAUUCUAGUCUUUUAACUCAGUCAGCUGGGAGAUCCAAUCCUUAGAGACCUGAAGGUAACCUGCAUGUAAAACUAGUAAAAACCAUCUUGAUAGGCUUAGGUUGCUUGUGUGAAAUCUGUUCUGAAGCUUCAGUGCAAAGCAAACACAGCACUAAUGAUGGAUGUGAAUGGACAUCUUAAGGAUAACUGGAUAUGGCAUCUUCAGAAACAGUGGCAUUUUGAAAUCAGUGGCAAACAGCACAAUCAGUGCAUGCUGCCUGAUGCCAGCUGUGGGAUGCAGAAGCUGUGUGGGGAGAGACAGUGCUGGAGAUCAGACUGAAGACCAUUACACCUUCUGGAGCUGACAGGCACAUACAGGAAGGUCCCAGGCCCUAAUUCUGCAUCUGGUCAAAUGGACCUCGAGAGCCCUGGGGCCUGCUUGAGUUAAUGCAACAUGAGUGCCUGGAAGUUUCUACUCUGAAGAACUGACUUUAGGCAAAUUUGUAUUUUGUUUCCAUGUCUACUUGCUUCUAAUUCAUGAUAGUUGUCCUUUAAGGUGGUAUUGUUUUUGAGACUUGGCACAUCUACUUUCGUACCAUUUGUAUGCAGUGUUCCCUGAAUAUUGUCAGACAGUUAAAACAUUUCUGUUGUGUCAUGUACCAAAAACUCUGGAUUGAUGUGAUUAGUGUUGCAUUUUUACAUGUCAUGUCUUCCUACUUAAAAUGGAGGAGGCAAUCACCUGUGUUUUCAGUAGUUGUGGUGUUUCUUUUACCUUAGCUUCUGGAGUUAACUACUGGGACUCUAUUCAGGGCAAUUUAAAGAUGUUGGUAGAUUUGUUUUUUGUUCUUCAGACACAAAAUACAUUUGUUAUUUUGCAGUGUGCUAUUUUCUUAGUAGCCUACUAUAACUACGGGCUUUCAAAAUGAUGAUAAUUCUGUGAUGCAGACCAGUAAAAUAAGCGGGAAAAACAGUAACUUUUACUAGCUCUUCUAUUGCUUUUCUAUUUUUGUGGAUGCAGUUACAUGUCAUACUCUACAGCCGAGAGUGAAGACUUGCUUAUUUUUGUGAACUGGAUAACGUCUUUUAACUACGUGGGUUGCUGUUCCUGUCCUAUUCCAUAGGAAUCUUACAGUUUCAUUGUGUACUAAGGUUAGAUAGCCCCAGUAUGGACUGGGAAGGACUUUGCAAAUAGAGUUCGAGGGGAAAAAUGGAUAUGCUCUGUCUCUACCUGUGUUAGUAUUUAUAUCAUAUAGACUUUUUAAUGCAAACAUAUAUCAAGGUAGGAAAAUUAGUGGAUGAAAAUAUCCAACACUUUCUCUGUAUAUAGAAAAUCAGGAAUACCUCUUUUUUUUUUUUUUUGUAGGCGUAUUAAAAUUGUUUCUAAGAACUCUGAAGUAUUUAACAACAUUUUGCAUAUUCCCAGAACAAUAGAGAAGCACUGCUGUUUUGCUUUAUAAAGGAGAAAACAACUGUUCAAUCAGCAGUGAAGUCAGGGUUAUCAGUUGAGUCCUGCUGCCCUUUAACCUCAUGCCUCCAGCUCCAUUUCUUUCACAAAAGCCAAAGUUGCCAUUCUAACCAAUUUCUUUCUAUUUCUGCAUACAAGGCCUAAGGUGUUUCAGUUCGGACUCCCAGAAAAUGAGGAACACGGUGUUGGUGGCCGUCUGCCAAGGUUUUUGGUCUGACUUGCUCCUUCUUUGCAGAAGCCUAUGGCAGAGAGAACUGAAUGUUCCUGUGUGGCAUUCAACUGCCUUAACCACACGCCCGCUGCUCUCUUCCUGCAGUUGUCCGUCUUCUUCUCUGCACAACUUGUAGAGCAAACACAUAUAGGAACCUAUAAAUAAUCUAAUUUGAUGCACAACCCUGAUUCAUUUCCUGAGCAGCGUGUGUCCUGCACACACAGGGCAGCCGCGGUCCUGUGGAAAACUUGAACAGAACGGAUGAGGCCAAAUAUUAAAGCUGUUAAGUAUUUAAACUUUGCGAUGAAAUGCUAUUUCAAAUUACAGCUAUAAUGAACCAUGUUAGAAUAUUUUUAAAAAGGAAGGAGAAAAGAAAAAAAAGAAUGCUUUUAUUUAUAGUUGUAACUGUUUCCCUGUCUAGCAUUUGAACAUGAAUAUUCAGCUCGGUGAAAUACAGAGCAUCAACCAAGAGGAGCAGGCUGGUCUGCUGGGGAGGAAGGGAAGUAAGCUGCAGGUUGUAAACUUGUUUGCCCUUGAGUCUUAGGGACUGUCUGUGGAGAGUUUACUUUUGCUUUUGUUUGCUCUUGAGCAUUCCCAGCCCUAGAAAUGAGCUCUUUAGGGGCUUUGUGGUGUGAGAUACAUUGGGGGUAUUUGGUGUGUUGCUGUCAUCUGCUAAUAGCAUCAAUUAAAAAAAAAAAAAAAAAAAAAAAAAAUGGAAAUCAAAGGUGCUUUCUGCUAUCCGUGCUUUUUGACAGAAAAUAAGAGAAGCCACUGCUCAGGUGUCUCAGCUUUCUCCCUGAGUUUCGGGGUAAUCCGUGUGAUUCUUGAUCUCAAAAAUACAUGGAAAAUAACGUUAGAAAAAGUAUCUCUCUCAGGUUUCCCCUUUCUUCCCAAUCCAACAGCAGUGGCCUCCUGUGUUCGUGAACUACCGCAGGUGGCGUGUAGGCCCUACUGGCAGAGCAGUGGUAUCAGGAAACACAAGUUGAUCUCUUUAUCUUUUAGGCUGCAAUUGAUAAGGAUAAUAAGGCUGAUUUUGUGUGUUUUUUUUUUUUUCUUGGAGGGUAGGAGGAGGGUUGUCAGUAUGUUUAUUUGGGUUGGUUGGUUUGUUUACUUUGCCCCAGAGAAGUUUUCUGGGCCAUGAGCUAGGUUUUAAUUUCAGUUGAUAUUCUGUCUUAUCCUUACAGAUUUGAUGACUGGGCUGGCAAUUUUCUGUGAGGAAAAUGAAACAGCCUCAUGCUUUGCUUUUGGAUAUUUUUCUCUGGGCUAUGCGGAUUUUGCCCACAAGCAAAGCAGCAAAUUCAAAUGUCCUUAAACAGCACUGGAGUUGAUAGUGAGAUACACAGGUAGGAAAAUUUUGGCCAAGGCAUUCAUUGAAAUUCAUUAAAAUCAGAACACUUGCAAAAUUACCUCAGUUGCGCUGGCAUUUUGUUGUAAAGAAAAAAUGGAACCCUUGCUUUUAACACCUCUUUUUAAUGAAUCAAUUUUUCUCUUUGUUGUAAAGAAGUUGUGGGGACCAUCAGUUGGCAAGGCAGAACGCCUUAAGCUGGAAUCUCAGCCCAGUGCUUUGUACCUUGAAACCAUGCCCUGAAAAUGUUGCCUGUCCUUUGCGUGAUAUUGUGAUUGAUUUUAUUAUGAUAGUUCAUCUCAUGCACUGAUUGUAAUCUUUUGGCAGGGGUUGUUUUCCUUUUCUAGAUUUCAUUUUUCUUCUUUCUUUCUUUUCUCUUUUUUUUUUUAAGCACCCAGUGUGAGGGAGCCCUGAUCCAUGACUUGGCUACCAGGUACUGGGACAAUACAAGUGGUAAUCAUUCCUGCUGCUAAACAUUUUCUACCUUAUUUCCAUUUGCAUUUGUUUGCCUUCAGCUUCCAGUCAUUGAUUCUUGUUAUGCCUUUCUCUGAUAGAUUAAAGAGCUCUUUAGUACUCACUGUUUUCUCUCCAGGAAGGUGCUUUUACACUGUAAUCAGAUUACUUCUCAAACUAUUUUUUUUUCUUAAAGCUAAAGAUUUAUAUGGUGUUCAUUAUAUUUUUUUCCACGUCCCUGGAUUAUUUUUUGUGUCUCUUUUCUACUCAUUCUCUAAUUUUUCUAUUAAAAAAGAAAAAAGAGACAUAGAAUUGUAUUUUACUAGUCACAUACACAGAAGUAGUUACUUCACUAAUUACUCCUGUCUUGGUAUGGUGAGGAAUCUAUGUUUUUUCAAAGUCAAGUAAAAUAAACAUCUAUUUAAUGACUUCAGUACAUUUGGGUGUAUAAUUAUUGAACAGAAGAAGGUGGAUUGUUUUAUUAAAAAUGGAAAUGCUUCAGAAGGUCUGCUGAUGCAGAAGAAGAGUGUGCAAGAGAGGCUUCAAAGAAGUAUUUGUGCUGAGGAUUUUAAGGAGAUGGAGAGAAGUAAUAACAUCUUGAAAAAGGAUACUGCUCAAAACCUUAAGUACUAUGGAUAACAUGAUAUGUAUUUUUUCUUGUGAAAAUUUUGUAGGAUCGAAUGCAAACCUUUCGUGAGUAACAGACUGUCUGGGCUACUGGAAAUAAAUGAGUGGAUGUGAGUAUAUGCAUCCCUUGCACCCAUUUAGUUCUGUGAAGUUGCUUAUAUUCGGAAACUCUAGAACAGUUACAUGAUCUAAAUGUUGUGCUGUAAUAGAAGAAAUAAGAUAGCAUCAAGGAUUUUGUUAUAACAGCAAUCACCAUUAUGCCACAGAAGACUUCAAACAAUUAAAAUCCUCAGCUUCAAGAAGUUCUUGAAAGUUCUACUGCUGCUCUUCAUUUUGAUUUUUAUUCAUGCUUCAGUAAAAUGAUGAGGUAAAUUUGUCUUAAAGGAGUUCUAAUUUCAUACCUGUGUGGUGGAAGCAUCUUGACCUACCUGAUGACUGUUAGUAUAUCAGCAUCUGGGAGAAUCCACACUCCCAGAUCCACCUUAUCCCUCGUGGAAACCACCAGGUUUGAACCAGAGACCGUUUAAAUGGUGCCAUAGAUCAGUUUAAUGCAAGUUUGUCCAACAGUAUUUAAACUUUGCAAUGAAAUGCUAUUUCAAAUUACAGCUAUAAUAAGCUGAGUUAGAAUAUUUUUAAAAUUUGUGUCUGGCACAAAUUUGAGGUCACCAUGUUGACUUUUUCUUGGAACUGUCUUGCUUUUUGACUUCUAGAAGAGUGUGCCUUUUGUUUUUGGCAGCAUUCCUUCAGUGAAAUUUGAGGCAUAUUUAAUAAAGAGUUUAAUUUGUCUCAAGAAAACUAAAAUUCACGGAAGCAUAAAUAAUGAAAAUAAUAAUAAUAAUAAUGUAAAAGACUUAAAAGCCUCUGAAACUCCUGAAGAAGGAGUAAAGAUGACUAGGAGUAGAAAGAUAAAUGGUCUCAGAAAGUAGUGAUCUAAAUAGAUGCUACAGUUUCAUGUUCACCAAAAGGUCAAUGCUAAGGUUUUGGUAGCACAAGACAAUUUGGGGUAGAUUGGUGUCCCCUGCUGAGCUCUGAUGCUGCAUGGAGCUUGGAGAAGUCUUUGGGCUGCAUGCAGCACAGUCUCUGCAAUGCAUAUUGCAGCCCAGGUUGGUGGAUAGUCAUAUCUCCUUAAAGACUUUGUUCCAAAAAACCUAUCAUCUGAGCAGGCAAGUCUGUGUGGUAUUGUUUCCAUUCUGUACAUUUUAUCACAUUUAAAUACCCCUUUCUAUAUCAAGACAGUUGCAACUUCAGAAAAGUUGGGGGACAAAAAAGGGUUUAGGAAGUGUUAUUCCCAAAGUGGAGCCUACAGUUAGCUCUUCUGAUAGUCGUUCUAGUAGUUGAAUCCAGAAAGAGGUGCUACUCAGUGAGUGUUUGUACAGUAAAGACUUCAGUAAUCUGUGACUGCUUGCUUAUAUUCACUCAGUGAAUGCUAAAAUGAGUAGUGCUGCAGAGCUGUAAUGCAGCAUAUAAUAGAGCGUGCCAUAGGUGUUUGAUCACUGUGAACCCUAGACUGCCAGUAAAACAGUAACCAAACACCACUCUGUAAGGACUGCUUUUGAUAGUUUGUAGUACUUGGAGUCUCACUUGAGCACCAUGCCUCCUCAGGAAGGUAGCAAGUUGCUGAAGAUGUGGAAAGUUCUCUGUACAAAUGAGAAACAGUUCAUUUUCUAGCACUGUGUUGUCGAGGAAGAGAUGGACACUUCUCGGUGACAGUCAUACAUAUUUGGCUGUAUUCAGCCAAAGGGCAAGACUGUCCUUCUGUCAAACCAUGCAGGUUCCUAUUUUCAAAGCUGUAAGCUCAUAUUUGUUUCUCCUAGCAAUUCCUGUAACCGCUUGUAUGCAGUGUGUUUCUAUGCAUUGCUGUGGAUCCUGUAUGUACUGCCUCUCCUAUUUCUCUGGAUAUCAGCAUCCUAUAAAUUCACAUCAUUUUCCUGUCUUGUGCAGAUAAUACUGCUAGGAUUUCUGAUACCAGGGACUGUACUGGCGUUAAAGUGCCUGCGACGUGUUCAGAAAUAGAUGGUUUAGCCCGUGUUGUAGAUAAUGGAUUGAAUCCUGUGUAAAGGACGAGAGAACAGGUCAGAGUUACACUUGCUUGUUGUGCAUUUUCAGAAAACAUACACAAGAGAUAAUAGCACCUCUGUCCCAGUCCUGUACCUGGCUCAAGGAAUCUCUCCAAUUUAACAUGUAGUAUUGAGGGCAUCUAAAGGAUCCCCAGAUGCAACGGAAUAUAUCUUUGAGUGUUUUGGACUGGAUGAUACAGGAAGGAAAGUGAUUUCCACUAUUUUUCAUCACCUUAGGCCUAGUUGAAUUCUGCUUUUUUCUGGUGUAGAAGCGUAGUGGCAGUGGCAGCAUCAGAGGCUUCUGUGCCUCUUGACUGAGGAUGACCUAGUACUAAUAGCUUUACAGGAGACUGUCUGUAAUGGUGGACAGCAACAUCUUAGGAUCAACAGAAGCAAACAUUGCAGCUGAUAACUUUUACCUUGUCUGCAGACUUGAGUGUGCAGUCACAUAAAUGGCCUGGAGAUUUUGGAAGGACUCGGAUGUUCAAUAUACUGGUUCCAGAAAGUGGAAGAGAGAAGUGGAUGUUGCAUUGCAUGUUGUGCGCUCAGAAAAGCAAACAUCUUAGCAGGUCAGCGAUUUCAGAAAUUGUGCAGUCCUGGAAGAACAUUUAUUUAACUCUUUUGCUGCAGGAGGUGAACGCAGUUCCCCACCUAUCUGAAACUGCAUUGCAAGCUUCAUAGAAGCACUUAAAGAAGUUGCAUGCUUAUACGUAAGGAAUAAGAUGCUAAAGGACUCACAUAAUUUCCGUUACUGUCACUGUGAAAUGAUUGCUUUAUAAACGUGUAUAUGUACAAUUUUCACUGUGGCAUAUUGAUCAUCAGGAGAAAAGUCUAUAACUAAUGCAUCUUCAUCUGUUUUGCCCUCUGUGAGCUGAACAGUGUGAGCAUAAACCUAUGCUAUGACAUAUAUUUUCUUGAAUACUUCGUACCUAUUAAUUCUUCAAAAAGCUUACAAAGCUUAAAUGUUAUCCAUUCUAUGGAUGAGAACACUGUGUAAGUACUGAUCCCGAUUUAAGAUCGGCUAUAGAAAUGAUGGCAUUGUCUGCAGGGCUCACAUGUCAACAAAAAUCAGCUGUUUCACAAAUGAAGCCUGCUAAGGAAAUCGCUGCAGCAGUAAGAGUCCCAUCCCUGCUCCCUGGCUGCUUCUCCCAGACCAUUUUCCUUUAGUCUUCCGAGGUUACCUUGUUUGGCUGCUACUUCUCUCAGUUACCGUUUACUGACGCAUCUGGAAUAGCCAACUACUCAUCUGUGUAGAAAGGACACAUGGCCUUCUGAAACCCUGUUCUCUAGAUAAUGCUCACUAAUAAAAUAGAGCUGGCAACGUAUGCAGAUUACUUUGUGCAAUCGGAACAAAUCCAGCCAGAAAGGUAAAGCAAAGCACAUUCCGUGCAUUACUGCUCCUUACAGUCGUGCUGUGUCUCAUCUCUUUGAAUGGAAAUCUCUUCCAGAAGUAAUGCUAAGGGAACGGAGGAAAAAAAAAUGCUGGUUAUAAGUCUGCGUUUAAUAGACAAGAGAGAAUUAUGUUUGUAUGGGCUGUGUAGGAGCUGGCACUGCAGCCUCAGGAAGAGGUAAAUACGGGUAGUACUUAUUUCUGAGCAUAUUGUGAACAACCUACUCUCCUGUAUGACUGGAAGUGCUUUAAAAGGACUGUCUAUCCCCAGCAGCUCUAUCAUAAGUGCAUGUGGCCGAGUGCCCUGCCUUUGCAAAGUCUUUGCUCUCAUUUUGAGCUGAUAAUGUAGUGUUUUUGUCAAGAAAGGCUUUCAGAUCUCAUUAAAAAUAGCCUAGUUGUGGCUUUGGGUUUGACUAACAUGUUAGUUGUUGUCAUGCCAUUGUAAAAGUAAUAUACUCUUAAUUUUGACCUGAGGAAGCUAAGAUCUCUUUGCUCAGUAGGAAGGACAGAGGCGAAAUUUGGAGUUCCAUUGAUGUCACCGAAUCUCUGUAUUGUCAAAGCAAGCUAUGAAACCAUCUGCCUUCCAGCCAAAACCACUGUAGGUGGGCAGUGUUCCUCACAGAAUGCAAAAGCUAUCAAAGAAGCUGGUGACAUAGCAUGCUUCUCGUGAAGUGCUGCCCCAUCCUGCAGUGUUCCUUUGGCUCAUGGAGUUGAUGCAAGUUCCUUUUCUCACCUCUGUCAGCAACCACAGAGUGCAAAUGGGCCGAGUCUUUCUCAGGCCUGGCCUGUUACAUAGCUUGACUUCCUUGAAAAUUCUGUUAGGAAGAGUCUCAUCAGUGUGCUUCACAAAGUCACUGGGGAGCUGGGAAGGAAGCAGAUACCAACUCUGCACCUGUCUCUUGAUUACUGUCGACCAGAUGUCUCUGUGGUCUCUGUUCCCUUCCUUGGGAUUCUCUAUUGUUGCUUGGCUUUGCUAGAAAUCUUAAGUUAUGAUCUGCAUGGAUGUUUUGAAGUGGGAGUGUAUGUUUAAGUAAAUAAAAGAUUGUUUUCAUUUUCA